Molecule: small nuclear RNA, 110 nt
Organism: Cydia fagiglandana
Lineage: Eukaryota; Metazoa; Arthropoda; Insecta; Lepidoptera; Tortricidae
Source: RefSeq, a predicted model, not a curated record
GUACUUGCUUCGGCAGUACAUAUACUAAAAUACGAACGCUACAGAGAAGAUUAGCAUGGCCCCUGCGCAAGGAUGAAAAAAAAAACCUUAAGAGCGAAUGGAAAAUUCAU